GAAGAACAACCAGAAGGUAAUGUUGUCCCCACAAAUAGGAACGUCCGGAGACGCCGAGUGCGUCAAAUGGCUCCAAACCUGUUGUCCCCAUACAUAUCCCAACCAUAAACCAAACAAUCUGCCAUUAAAAUCGACCUAAAACAAGCAGCUGCACUGGUAUUUGGAGAGGAUUUGGAUGCUAGUGAGGAACUAGUGUCUAUGCAUGACACUAUCCUAACCAGAGGCAAUUUGGGCUGCUUCGAAGGGAAUGGGUGGAUAGGAAACGACGUCGUCGAUGCCUACUGUAGAUUGUUGCAGUAUGAACAUGAACCGAAGUCGAAACUGUUUCUAUCCCCC
Molecule: long non-coding RNA, 336 nt
Organism: Vitis riparia (riverbank grape)
Lineage: Eukaryota; Viridiplantae; Streptophyta; Magnoliopsida; Vitales; Vitaceae
Exons: 3
Source: RefSeq, a predicted model, not a curated record